RNAcentral lists this ribosomal RNA (387 nucleotides) under uncultured bacterium. RNAcentral's name for it is "bacterial SSU rRNA". It matches the Rfam family "Bacterial small subunit ribosomal RNA", at positions 28 to 417 of the family's 1533-position model. The record is from RNAcentral.
GACGAACGCUGGCGGAAUGCUUUACACAUGCAAGUCGAGCGGCAGCACGGGGGCAACCCUGGUGGCGAGCGGCGAACGGGUGAGUAAUACAUCGGAACAUGCCCAGUCGUGGGGGGAUAACACUUCGAAAGAAGUGCUAAUACCGCAUACGUCCUGAGGGAGAAAGCGGGGGAUCGCAAGACCUCGCGCGAUUGGAGUGGCCGAUGUCAGAUUAGCUAGUUGGUGGGGUAAAGCCUACCAAGGCAACGAUCUGUAGCUGGUCUGAGAGGAUGAUCAGCCACACUGGGACUGAGACACGGCCCAGACUCCUACGGGAGGCAGCAGUGGGGAAUUUUGGACAAUGGGGGCAACCCUGAUCCAGCCAUUCCGCGUGAGUGAAGAAGGCCU